AUUGAACGCUGGCGGCAUGCCUAACACAUGCAAGUCGAACGGCAGCACAGAGGAGCUUGCUCCUUGGGUGGCGAGUGGCGGACGGGUGAGUAAUGCAUCGGGACCUACCCAGACGUGGGGGAUAACGUAGGGAAACUUACGCUAAUACCGCAUACGUCCUACGGGAGAAAGCAGGGGACCUUCGGGCCUUGCGCGGUUGG
Molecule: ribosomal RNA, 200 nt
Filed under: uncultured bacterium
Lineage: Bacteria
Description: partial 16S ribosomal RNA
Rfam family: Bacterial small subunit ribosomal RNA
Source: RNAcentral